Molecule: ribosomal RNA, 253 nt
Filed under: uncultured bacterium
Lineage: Bacteria
Description: partial 16S ribosomal RNA
Rfam family: Bacterial small subunit ribosomal RNA
Source: RNAcentral
UACGUAGGGUGCGAGCGUUAAUCGGAAUUACUGGGCGUAAAGCGUGCGCAGGCGGUUUUUUAAGACAGAUGUGAAAUCCCCGGGCUUAACCUGGGAACGGCGUUUGUGACUGCAAGACUAGAGUACGGCAGAGGGGGGUAGAAUUCCACGUGUAGCAGUGAAAUGCGUAGAUAUGUGGAGGAAUACCGAUGGCGAAGGCAGCCCCCUGGGUCAAUACUGACGCUCAUGCACGAAAGCGUGGGGAGCAAACAGG